UACGGAGGGUGCAAGCGUUAUCCGGAUUUACUGGGUUUAAAGGGUGCGUAGGUGGGUCUGUAAGUCAGUGGUGAAAUCUCCGAGCUUAACUCGGAAACUGCCAUUGAUACUAUAGAUCUUGAAUAUCCUGGAGGUGAGCGGAAUAUGUCAUGUAGCGGUGAAAUGCGUAGAUAUGACAUAGAACACCAAUUGCGAAGGCAGCUCACUACUGGAUCAGUGACACUGAGGCACGAAAGCGUGGGGAUCAAACAGG
RNAcentral lists this ribosomal RNA (253 nucleotides) under uncultured bacterium. Its description in RNAcentral is "partial 16S ribosomal RNA". It matches the Rfam family "Bacterial small subunit ribosomal RNA", at positions 524 to 776 of the family's 1533-position model. The record is from RNAcentral.